GUCUAUGGCCAUACCACCCUGAACGUGCCUGAUCUUGUCUGAUCUUGGAAGCUAAUCAAGGUCGGGCCUGGUUACUACUCAGAUGGGAGACCAAAUGCCCAAUCAAAAUAAUAAAAA
RNAcentral lists this ribosomal RNA (117 nucleotides) under Piliocolobus tephrosceles (Ugandan red Colobus). Lineage: Eukaryota; Metazoa; Chordata; Mammalia; Primates; Cercopithecidae. The record is from RNAcentral.